This 77-nucleotide transfer RNA is filed under the name Dyella soli. Its description in RNAcentral is "tRNA-His". It matches the Rfam family "tRNA". Rfam says of the family: Transfer RNA (tRNA) molecules are approximately 80 nucleotides in length. Their secondary structure includes four short double-helical elements and three loops (D, anti-codon, and T loops). Further hydrogen bonds mediate the characteristic L-shaped molecular structure. tRNAs have two regions of fundamental functional importance: the anti-codon, which is responsible for specific mRNA codon recognition, and the 3' end, to which the tRNAs corresponding amino acid is attached (by aminoacyl-tRNA synthetases). tRNAs cope with the degeneracy of the genetic code in two manners: having more than one tRNA (with a specific anti-codon) for a particular amino acid; and 'wobble' base-pairing, i.e. permitting non-standard base-pairing at the 3rd anti-codon position. Lineage: Bacteria; Pseudomonadati; Pseudomonadota; Gammaproteobacteria; Lysobacterales; Rhodanobacteraceae. RNAcentral also lists the same sequence under 12 other names. The record is from RNAcentral.
GUGGGCGUAGCUCAGUUGGUUAGAGUACCGGAUUGUGAUUCCGGUUGUCGUGGGUUCGAAUCCCAUCGUCCACCCCA